RNAcentral lists this ribosomal RNA (449 nucleotides) under uncultured bacterium. RNAcentral describes it as "bacterial SSU rRNA". It matches the Rfam family "Bacterial small subunit ribosomal RNA", at positions 29 to 521 of the family's 1533-position model. The record is from RNAcentral.
AGCGAACGCUGGCGGCAGGCUUAACACAUGCAAGUCGAGCGGGCGUAGCAAUACGUCAGCGGCAGACGGGUGAGUAACGCGUGGGAACGUACCUUUUGGUUCGGAACAACCCAGGGAAACUUGGGCUAAUACCGGAUAAGCCCUUACGGGGAAAGAUUUAUCGCCAAAAGAUCGGCCCGCGUCUGAUUAGCUAGUUGGUGAGGUAACGGCUCACCAAGGCGACGAUCAGUAGCUGGUCUGAGAGGAUGAUCAGCCACAUUGGGACUGAGACACGGCCCAAACUCCUACGGGAGGCAGCAGUGGGGAAUAUUGGACAAUGGGCGCAAGCCUGAUCCAGCCAUGCCGCGUGAGUGAUGAAGGCCCUAGGGUUGUAAAGCUCUUUUGUGCGGGAAGAUAAUGACGGUACCGCAAGAAUAAGCCCCGGCUAACUUCGUGCCAGCCGCCGCCGU